Molecule: long non-coding RNA, 906 nt
Filed under: Pan troglodytes (chimpanzee)
Lineage: Eukaryota; Metazoa; Chordata; Mammalia; Primates; Hominidae
Description: lncRNA (ENSPTRG00000053374.1)
Source: RNAcentral
AUGAAUCCGUCGUCGCCUUUAUCUUUUAGUCCUUUGAAGAGCCUUGAGAAUGGAAAUCAUGAGAGAUUUUUCCAUGGGGGAAGUUCUUUUUACGAGACGUUUAUUCAGAUUGAUUUCUCGGCACCCCGCGGGGCGGGCAACGGGCGGGGCUUCCAGUGCACCUUCUGCGCAGUGGAGCCGCGGAGGCUCAGCUGGACAGUGGUCGGGUCGUGGGGCUGGAGGGCGGGAGCGGGGGAAGGGAAAAGCAAAAGCGGGGAAAGAAGCCGGAGAGCGGUGGACCAGACAUCUAGACCUGAAAGGCUCGUGCGGAGGCAGAGGCGGGAUCUUCCGGAGGUACACGUUCCGUGCCUUCUUCUGGGCGCUAUAGGAAGGGUGCACUCAGCAAACUCCCCAUCCCCUCAAUCUUCAGGGGCCCUCCUGGCAGGACGACUGUGCAAGUUCCAGGUCCUUGGAAAACCGGAGAGAUUAGAGCGGUGAAUUGUAGUGUUGGACACCUGCGCGUUGGGAUAUUCUAGAGCACGAAGGACAGCCGAAUGGCCUUCGCCCGCGCUGCCCCUCGCCUGCUUCAGAAGCCCGAGGAAACGCCCCCGUCCGCGACCCGAGCCGCCGCCUCCAGGCUCAGGGGAAACUGAACGCCCGGUGGGCUCCUGGGCUGCAUCUUCGCGUUCUUUGCGCCGCCUUCACCCACUGAGGGAGCCUGUGCCCACCUUGCCCAGUCGCUUUCGGGGCCGCUGCGGAGCUUCCGCUGCCAUCUUCGGAUCCUGUGUCCCGCACGGGGGCUCCACCAGGGCAGGGAUGAUGGUGAGGGUCGCUCGUGGGUGCCCUCGCGGGAAACAGGGUAUGACACUCACCAGAGUGCACGACUAGGACUUGAAUUAAUCCAUCGUCGCAUUCAGUUUUUAGUCU